Molecule: ribosomal RNA, 390 nt
Filed under: Triticum aestivum (bread wheat)
Lineage: Eukaryota; Viridiplantae; Streptophyta; Magnoliopsida; Poales; Poaceae
Description: partial small subunit ribosomal RNA
Source: RNAcentral
AUGUCGUCGUGCUGGUCGUCGGUGCUGGCCGUCCUCGGCGGCGCGGUGUCAGAAGAGGAGGCGCAGAUGCGGGGCAGGUUGCUGGCCGUCAAGGAGGCCGUGGCGUCGGAGGCGGAGGCGGUUGAGAACCUAGAGGAGGAGGUGAAGGCCCUGGAGCGUGCCCUGGCCGCGGCGGAGACGGAGAGGGAGGCGGCCGAGGCGAGGAGGCGGGCAGCCGAGGAGCGCACGGGGAAGGCCGUGGCCGAGCUGCGGGCUGCGGAGGAGGAGCACGAGGGCCGAGUGGAGGAGCUGCUGCUGACGGCGGAGCAGUCGGACGCCGCGGACGCGCAUCCGCGAGCGGGAGGAGAUGAUCAAGAUUAUCGCCGGCAUCAUCGAGACACCGAGCGAUGA